RNAcentral lists this ribosomal RNA (240 nucleotides) under uncultured eukaryote. Its description in RNAcentral is "partial large subunit ribosomal RNA". It matches the Rfam family "Eukaryotic large subunit ribosomal RNA", at positions 40 to 268 of the family's 3401-position model. The record is from RNAcentral.
AUAUCAAUAAGCGGAGGAAAAGAAACUAACAAGGAUUCCCCUAGUAACGGCGAGUGAAGCGGGAACAGCUCAAAUUUGAAAUCUCCGGGGGCAACCUUGGCGAAUUGUAGUUUAGAGAAGCACUUGUUGAGGGCGGACGCUGUCCAAGUUCCCUGGAAUGGGGUAUCAGAGAGGGUGAGAAUCCCGUAUCUGGCGGCGCGUUUCCAGUCUUCUAUACAGGGUGUUUUGCGUAAGAGUCGG